This 579-nucleotide ribosomal RNA is filed under the name uncultured bacterium. RNAcentral describes it as "partial 16S ribosomal RNA". It matches the Rfam family "Bacterial small subunit ribosomal RNA", at positions 355 to 932 of the family's 1533-position model. The record is from RNAcentral.
UGGGGAAUUUUGGACAAUGGGCGAAAGCCUGAUCCAGCAAUGCCGCGUGUGUGAAGAAGGCCUUCGGGUUGUAAAGCACUUUUGUCCGGAAAGAAAUCCUUGGCUCUAAUACAGUCGGGGGAUGACGGUACCGGAAGAAUAAGCACCGGCUAACUACGUGCCAGCAGCCGCGGUAAUACGUAGGGUGCAAGCGUUAAUCGGAAUUACUGGGCGUAAAGCGUGCGCAGGCGGUUUGCUAAGACCGAUGUGAAAUCCCCGGGCUCAACCUGGGAACUGCAUUGGUGACUGGCAGGCUAGAGUAUGGCAGAGGGGGGUAGAAUUCCACGUGUAGCAGUGAAAUGCGUAGAGAUGUGGAGGAAUACCGAUGGCGAAGGCAGCCCCCUGGGCCAAUACUGACGCUCAUGCACGAAAGCGUGGGGAGCAAAACAGGAUUAGAUACCCUGGUAGUCCACGCCCUAAACGAUGUCAACUAGUUGUUGGGGAUUCAUUUCCUUAGUAACGUAGCUAACGCGUGAAGUUGACCGCCUGGGGAGUACGGUCGCAAGAUUAAAACUCAAGGAAUUGACGGGGUCAUAGCUG